CAUAGUCAAGAGGGAAACAGCCCAGACCAACAGCUAAGGUCCCCAAUGCCGUACUAAGUGGCGAAGGAUGUGGAAUUUCGAAAACAACCAGGAUGUUGGCUCAGAAGCAGCCACCAUUAAAAGAGUGCGUAAUAGCUCACUGGUCGAGAGACUCUGCGCCGAAGAUGUCCGGGGCUAAAGUACGGAACCGAAGCUUUGGCAAUUAACAUAAGUUAAUUGGGUAGGGGAGCGUUCCUGCAUGGGAGAAGCCUGACCGGAAGGACAGGUGGACAGGCAGGAAGAGAGAAUGCCGGUAUGAGUAGCGAAAAGAAGGGUGAGAAUCCCUUCCACCGAAAGCCUAAGGGUUCCUGGGCAACGAUCGUCGUCCCAGGGUAAGUCGGGACCUAAUCCGAGGCGGAGACGCGUAGGAGAUGGACAACAGGUUGAAAUUCCUGUACUGGCUGAGGCCGUUUGAGCGAAGGAGUGACACAGGAAGGAAGGCGCGCGUGCGAUUGGAAGAGCACGUCCAAGCAGGUAGGUCGGGAGACAGGCAAAUCCGUUUCCCGUAAGGCCGAGAUGCGAUGGGGAGCUUCUGGAGACAGAAGCGAAGGGGCUGGCACUAAACUGUCGAGAAAAGCUUCUAGUGAGGACUCAGGCACCCGUACCGAAACCGACACAGGUAGGCAGGAUGAGAAUUCUAAGGUGCGACGGGAAAACCCUCGUUAAGGAACUCGGCAAAAUAUAUCCGUAACUUCGGGAAAAGGAUAACCCAGCGUACGUGAAGUGCAGAAACGCAUGGAGCGGAGAUGGGUGGCAGAAGAGAGACCCAAGCGACUGUUUACCACAAACACAGGCGUCUGCUAAAGCGAAAGCUGAUGUAUAGAUGCUGACACCUGCCCGGUGCUGGAAGGUUAAGAGGAAGUGUUAGCGCAAGCGAAGCAGUGAAUUGAAGCCCCAGUAAACGGCGGCCGUAACUAUAACGGUCCUAAGGUAGCGAAAUUCCUUGUCGGGUAAGUUCCGACCCGCACGAAAGGUGCUAACGAUU
RNAcentral lists this ribosomal RNA (1024 nucleotides) under Megasphaera sp. BL7. RNAcentral describes it as "bacterial LSU rRNA". It matches the Rfam family "Bacterial large subunit ribosomal RNA", at positions 1006 to 2009 of the family's 2925-position model. The record is from RNAcentral. Lineage: Bacteria; Bacillati; Bacillota; Negativicutes; Veillonellales; Veillonellaceae.